GAUGAACGCUGGCGGCGUGCCUAAUACAUGCAGGUCGAGCGAACGGACGAGAAGCUUGCUUCUCUGAUGUUAGCGGCGGACGUGUGAGUAACACGUGGAUAACCUACCUAUAAGACUGGGAUAACUUCGGGAAACCGGAUCUAAUACCGGAUAAUAUUUUGAACCGCAUGGUUCAAAAGUGAAAUACGGUCUUGCUGUCACUUAUAGAUGUAUCCGCGCUGCAUUAUCUAGUUGGUAAGGUAACGGCUUACCAAGGCAACGAUGCAUAGCCGACCUGAGAGGGGGAUCGGCAAAAGAGGAACUGAGAAACGGUACAGAGACCGACGGGAGGCAGAAGGAGGGAAUCUGCCGAAAAGGGCGAAAGACUGAAGGAGAAACGCCGCGGGAGUGAUGAAGGUCUGCGGAUCGUAAAACGCUGUUAGUAGGGAAGAACAUAUGUGUAAGUAACUGUGCACAUGUUGACGGAACCGAAACAGAAAGCCACGGCUAACUACGU
RNAcentral lists this ribosomal RNA (496 nucleotides) under uncultured bacterium. RNAcentral's name for it is "partial 16S ribosomal RNA". It matches the Rfam family "Bacterial small subunit ribosomal RNA", at positions 28 to 506 of the family's 1533-position model. The record is from RNAcentral.